Molecule: ribosomal RNA, 73 nt
Filed under: Pseudomonas fulva
Lineage: Bacteria; Pseudomonadati; Pseudomonadota; Gammaproteobacteria; Pseudomonadales; Pseudomonadaceae
Also listed under: 1 other name
Description: partial 23S ribosomal RNA
Source: RNAcentral
UAAGCGCUGUGAGGCGUUGAGCUAACCAAUACUAAUUGCCCGUGAGGCUUGACCAUAUAACACCCAAGCAAUU